GACGAACGCUGGCGGCGUGCCUAAUACAUGCAAGUCGAACGCUUCUUUCCUCCCCAGUGCUUGCACUCAAUUGGAAAGAGGAGUGGCGGACGGGUGAGUAACACGUGGGUAACCUACCCAUCAGAGGGGGAUAACACUUGGAAACAGGUGCUAAUACCGCAUAACAGUUUAUGCCGCAUGGCAUAAGAGUGAAAGGCGCUUUCGGGUGUCGUUGAUGGAUGGACCCGCGGUGCAUUAGCUAGUUGGUGAGGUAACGGCUCACCAAGGCCACGAUGCAUAGCCGACCUGAGAGGGUGAUCGGCCACACUGGGACUGAGACACGGCCCAGACUCCUACGGGAGGCAGCAGUAGGGAAUCUUCGGCAAUGGACGAAAGUCUGACCGAGCAACGCCGCGUGAGUGAAGAAGGUUUUCGGAUCGUAAAACUCUGUUGUUAGAGAAGAACAAGGACGUUAGUAACUGAACGUCCCCUGACGGUAUCUAACCAGAAAGCCACGGCUAACUACGUG
Molecule: ribosomal RNA, 508 nt
Filed under: uncultured bacterium
Lineage: Bacteria
Description: partial 16S ribosomal RNA
Rfam family: Bacterial small subunit ribosomal RNA
Source: RNAcentral